This is an unclassified non-coding RNA of Callithrix jacchus (white-tufted-ear marmoset), 164 nucleotides long. It matches the Rfam family "Metazoan signal recognition particle RNA". Rfam says of the family: The signal recognition particle (SRP) is a universally conserved ribonucleoprotein. It is involved in the co-translational targeting of proteins to membranes. The eukaryotic SRP consists of a 300-nucleotide 7S RNA and six proteins: SRPs 72, 68, 54, 19, 14, and 9. NCBI's taxonomy places the organism in Eukaryota, Metazoa, Chordata, Mammalia, Primates, Cebidae. The record is from Ensembl.
GCUGGGCAUGGUGGUGCAUGCCUGUAAUCCCAGCUACUCAGGAGGCUGAGGCAGGAGAAUUGCUUGAACCCAGGAGUCGGAGGUUGCAGUGAGCUGAAAGUUGCAGUGAGCUGAGAUGGCGCCACUGCACUCCAGCCUGGUGACAGAGCAAGACUCUGUCUCAA